This 944-nucleotide long non-coding RNA is filed under the name Cyanistes caeruleus (blue tit). Its description in RNAcentral is "lncRNA (ENSCCEG00000011824.1)". The record is from RNAcentral. Lineage: Eukaryota; Metazoa; Chordata; Aves; Passeriformes; Paridae.
AUGUGCCAAGUCUUUCUGCUCUUUUUCUAGUCCACAGCAGAGAAGCAAUACAGCAAAUUGACUGCUUGCUGCAUUCUCUCUCCUGUAGCUGUAAGAUGAUGAGCUGUUGCUACCACUGGAAGAGUGCUACUGGGUUUCUGGUGACAAAGUAAGCAGGCACUGAGGUUCCCCUGAGUCCCUUCCAGCUGCAAAUUCUCCUGGCAUGAAGCAGGGUAAUGCUGGAGAGUGAAUGUAUUUUCAGACCAUGUAUACAUGAGGGAGUUGAACGAAGAUUACUGGGCAGCUGGGAUGGCAAUGCUGAGUUAACUCCCUCACUGUUUGGAAGCCCCAGCAAGCCUUGUACUCAUGUCACGGAGAGGAGCAGCAGGAACAUUACAGCAGCAGACCUAGAGAAAUGCCAGAUGCUCUUCUGUGAGCAAAGGGGGAUGAAGCAGCAGGAAAUGAAAGGCGCCUCAUAUCCUGAUGAAUGCAGAGAGGUAGCAAGCUCUGCAAAGCAGGAUUGCCCUUUGGAGCUGCUUGAUAAAGGAAAAUAUGACCAACAAUGUUAUGGAGCUCACAUUUCAGGGAGAGGAACUCUGCAGAGAGCUGCUGCUUCUGAGGCCUUCUGAGUACACUAAAGUAGGAAAGCUCUGAGUAUCAGAAGGGUGGAAGAGGAUUUGUAAUAGGCAGUUCCUAAAUUGAAUGAAGCAAGGUGGUGUGUGGCUGGCUCAUCAUCAGGACAAAAAAUGGUUGCAUUAUGGAGAGGCUAACGUCAUGGAACUUAGGAUAGGUCGGUAGGCAACUGAAUGAGGUGAGAAAAAUGAAUCAUAGAAUGGUUUGGGUUGGAAGGGACCUUUGAAGGCCAUAUAGAUCAACUCCCCUAUAAUAAGCAGGUGCUUCUUCAGCUAUAUCAAGUUGCUCAGAGCCCUGUCUAACGUGACCUUGGGUUUUUCCAUGUGAUCUAC